GAUGAACGCUGGCGGCGUGCCUAAUACAUGCAAGUAGAACGCUGAAGCUUGGUGCUUGCACCGAGCGGAUGAGUUGCGCACGGGUGAGUAACGCGUAGGUAACCUGCCUGGUAGCGGGGGAUAACUAUUGGAAACGAUAGCUAAUACCGCAUAACAGUAGAUAUUGCAUGAUAUCUGCUUGAAAGGUGCAAAUGCAUCACUACCAGAUGGACCUGCGUUGUAUUAGCUAGUUGGUGAGGUAACGGCUCACCAAGGCGACGAUACAGAGCCGACCUGAGAGGGCGGUCGGCCGCACUGGGACUGUGACACGGCCCAGACGCCCACGGGAGGCAGCAGUAGGGAAUCUUCGGCAAGGGGGGGAACCCUGACCGAGCAACGCCGCGUGCGGGAAGAAGGGUGUCGGAUCGUAAAGCUCGGUUGUAAGAGAAGAACGAGUGUGAGAGUGGAAAGUUCACACUGUGACGGUAACGUACCAGAAAGGGACGGCUAACUACGUG
This 497-nucleotide ribosomal RNA is filed under the name uncultured bacterium. RNAcentral describes it as "partial 16S ribosomal RNA". It matches the Rfam family "Bacterial small subunit ribosomal RNA", at positions 28 to 507 of the family's 1533-position model. The record is from RNAcentral.